RNAcentral lists this ribosomal RNA (468 nucleotides) under uncultured bacterium. Its description in RNAcentral is "partial 16S ribosomal RNA". It matches the Rfam family "Bacterial small subunit ribosomal RNA", at positions 28 to 507 of the family's 1533-position model. The record is from RNAcentral.
GAUGAACGCUGGCGGCGUGCUUAACACAUGCAAGUCGAACGGUGAAGGCGGAGCUUGCUCUGCUGGAUCAGUGGCGAACGGGUGAGUAACACGUGAGCAAUCUGCCCCUGACUCUGGGAUAAGCGCUGGAAACGGCGGCUAAUACGGGAUACGAGCUGCGAAGGCAUCUUCAGCAGCUGGAAAGAAUUUCGGUCAGGUAUGAUCUCGCGGCCUAUCAGCUUGUUGGUGAGGUAAUGGCUCACCAAGGCGUCGACGGGUAGCCGGCCUGAGAGGGUGACCGGCCACACUGGGACUGAGACACGGCCCAGACUCCUACGGGAGGCAGCAGUGGGGAAUACUGCACAAUGGGCGAAAGCCUGAUGCAGCAACGCCGCGUGAGGGAAGACGGCCUUCGGGUUGUAAACCUCUUUUAGCAGGGAAGAAGCGAAAGUGACGGUACCUGCAGAAAAAGCGCCGGCUAACUACGUG